ACGAACGCUGGCGGCGUGCUUCACCCAUGCAAGUCGUACGAUGACCCGGCUCUUCGGAGCUGGUGAUUAGUGGCGAACGGGUGAGUAACACGUGGGUGACCUGCCCUGCACUCUGGGAUAAGCCCGGGAAACUGGGUCUAAUACUGGAUACGACCAGUGGCCGCAUGGUCUGCUGGUGGAAAGCCCUUCGGGGUGGUGUGGGAUGGGCCCGCGGCCUAUCAGCUUGUUGGUGGGGUGAUGGCCUACCAAGGCGACGACGGGUAGCCGGCCUGAGAGGGUGUCCGGCGACACUGAGACUGGGACAAGGCCCAGACGCCUACGGGAGGCAGCAGUGGGGAAUCUUGCACAAUGGGCGAAAGCCUGAUGCAGCGACGCCGCGUGAGGGAUGACGGCCUUCGGGUUGUAAACCUCUUUCGGAAGGGAACAGGCCUGGGGGUUUUCUUCUGGGUGAGGGUACCUGCGGAAGAAGCACCGGCUAACUACGUG
This 486-nucleotide ribosomal RNA is filed under the name uncultured bacterium. RNAcentral's name for it is "partial 16S ribosomal RNA". It matches the Rfam family "Bacterial small subunit ribosomal RNA", at positions 29 to 507 of the family's 1533-position model. The record is from RNAcentral.